CUGCCAGGUAUGAUAGGCUUGUCUCAAGGACUAAGCCAUGCAUGCCUAAGUUCAUACCUAUACAAGGUGAAACUGCGAAUCGCUCAGUAAAUCAGUUAUUGUUUCUUUGAUCGUACCGAGAUGUGCGCCAGUGUGUUCCACUGGCCUCAUCACACAUUGGAUAACUCUGGGAAACUAGAGCUAAUACAUGUCAACUGCUAUCACGGGGUAGCGUGCAUUUGUUCGCCCAUUCCAAAACCAACACUGGCUGAUCUAAACACACGGAGUGGGCCCUAAACCAGCCCCUGGUAACGCUGGCUGUGGCUGGCCAGGUCUCCUGGUUGGCUGCUUUCAGCCUGUGUGCGCACGGGUCAGCCAUGUUCACGGUGAUUCUGAAUAACUGAUGCUGAUCGUACAGGGCCACUGUGCCCACGAUAUUUCAAUCAAAUUCCUGCCCUAUCAUAUUUGUUGGUAGGGUAGCGGCCUACCAAGGUGACGACGGGUAACGGGGAAUCAGGGUUCGAUUCCGGAGAGGGAGCCUGAGAAACAGCUACCACGUCCAAGGAUGGCAGCAGGCGCGCAAACUAUCCAAUCCAGAUUCUGGGAGAUGGUGACGAGACAUAUUGGGACUCACCAGCAUCGCUGGUCGAGUUACCAGAUAGACUACAACCUAAUACAGUGCUAAAAUAAUCAACAGGAGGGCAAGUCUGGUGCCAGCAGCCGCGGUAAUACCAGCUCCUGUGGCCUAUAUGGUCGUUGUUGCGGUUAAAAAGCUCGUAGUCGAAAUACGGUGCGCUCGAAAGCUGCAUCAGUGGUAAUGCUGCGCGCAGGUCUGCUCACAGUCCACGGCUCUUUGUCCACUGUGUGCGUGUGUGUGGCCCAUUCCAUGGGUCGCACACUCUCACGCUUCGUGCGUGACGGUAUGCGCACACAGAAUCAUGGCUCUGAGUGAACGUGCUGUAGUUUAUUAUGGCCUGUCAAAUGCAGUUACGCACUCUGGCGUGUGUCGCUGGUCGUGCCCUCGUGUGCCUGCUCACUCACGUGAGUAGGUGUGCGGGGGUGCGGCCUGGGGCCUGCCAGAGUGUUUUACCAUUGAGACAGCAUUAGAGUGCGCUUUCUCGUCCAGCUACAGUGUGUGUCUGACUGCGUGUGAGCGCGCUGUCAUUCGUGACUCGCGUACUAAAUCACCGCGUCAGGCCUCAUAUCCUUCAGUGGAUACACUGAACGCUGAGCGAAUUGUGCCUUGAGUAAAAUAGAGUGCUCAAAGCAGGCUAGGCAUGUAACAGUGUCAUUGCCCGUAUACUCCAGCAUGGAACGAAUGUCCAAUUGCUUGAACCACCCUGCGGCCUGGUUCGUUGGUUGAAAGUGUGAGUGCGUGUGGUAAGACACACGUGCUUGCACUUCGGUACACGUGUGUGGUGUGUGAUUAUGUGUUGCGCAUUGUGUGUGUGAACUCCAGGCCGUAUCCGCAAAUGUGUGUACCCGUGAUGAUAUUGUAAAUAUGCAUGUAGGCAGGACCAGGGUGUGUGUAAUAUAGUGUCAUGUUCUCACUCUCAUGUAUAUGAGAGUGCCCAUGAUGUGUCGUGUAGUAUGAAAUAUAAUGUGCACGUGCGAGCCAGUCGCCCUGCCUUUACUCACGCGGUCACACACACUGUUAUGCGCAGUGUGUGUCGCGUGAGAGUCAUCGCACGAUGGCUGGUGUAGGAGGCGGCACUCGCGCUAUGCGUGCACUUACUCUCGACUCACCCUGUGUGUGUAUGUGUGCGCUAUAUUGUAGCGCACACACCUGCCCCGGGAACAAUACCACUUCUGCGUAUGGGUAUCGGUUAACAGAGACAUUUGGGGGCAUUGGUAUUUGGCCGCGAGAGGUGAAAUUCUGAGACCGGUCAAAGACUGACGAUUGCGAAAGCAUCUGCCAAAGGUGUCUUCAUUGACCAAGAACGACAGUUAGGGGAUCGAAGAUGAUCAGAUACCGUCGUAGUCCUAACUGUAAACUAUGCCAACCAGGGCUCAGGCCGGAUCGUGUGUAUUGAAAUAGAAUUUCAUACAACUUUGAUCCAGGUUGGGCCCCCCGGGAAACCUAAAGUGUGUGGGUUCCGGGGGGAGUAUGGUUGCAAGGCUGAAACUUAAAGGAAUUGACGGAAGGGCACCACCAGGAGUGGAGCCUGCGGCCUUAUUUGACUCAACACGGGGAAUCUCACCAGGUCCGGACAUCGGAAGGAUUGACAGACUGAUAGAUCUUUCAUGAUUCGGUGAAUGGUGGUGCAUGGCCGUUCUUGGUUGGUGGAGUGAUUUGUCUGGUUUAUUCCGUGAACGAGCGCAACCACAGCCUCUAUUUUGGCCGUACGAAAGGCUACUGCCCUGCGUGUGGUGUGUUUACGCACACUGCGCGUAGGGUGCGUAUGUGAGUUUGCCACUAAUCGUGCUGGCACACUAAGUCUCCAUGUGUGUGUGGUGUGUGGGUGUACGCCUGCCAUGAGUCGUGUGUGCGUUGUUGAUGCAUAUUCCAAACGCUAUCGUGCUGCGCCAGCAUGUAUGCUGGCAGUGGACUAGAUGACGAUCGUGAUGACUCGUCAGACUGUCCGCUGUACUGUGUUGGUGAGUGUGUGCGGUAGCGGUGUGUUGAUGGCGUGCAUUCGCACUCGUGGUUCGGCGUGCAUCUGUGCAUUAUUGUGUGCAUGGAGAUGUGCCAGAUAUAUGUCGAUUGGUGGGUGUUCGUGCGCCUUUAUAGAGGGACUACCGGUGGCAAAUCGGUGGAAGUGUGGCAAUAGCAGGUCAGUGAUGCCCUUCGAUGUUCUGGGCUGCACGCGUGCUACAAUGGUUACGACAAUGAGUGUGUCUGCGUCGAAAGACGUGGGUAAUCUUGUCAAUCGUAGCCUUGCUGGGGAUUGAGCCUUGAAAUUAUUGCUCAUGAACCUGGAAUUCCUCGUAAGUACGAGUCACCAGCUCGUGCUGAAUACGUCACUGCCCUUUGUACACACCGCCCGUCGCUACUACCGAUUGAAUGAUUCGGUGAGGGCAUGGGAUUGAUCGGUUUCGUUCAUUGUAAACUGGUCGAGAGCCUGUCCAAGUUGCAUCAGUCAGAGGAAGUAAAAGUCGUAACAAGGCUUCCGUAGGU
This 3097-nucleotide ribosomal RNA is filed under the name Sphaerospora diversa. RNAcentral describes it as "partial 18S ribosomal RNA". It matches the Rfam family "Eukaryotic small subunit ribosomal RNA". Lineage: Eukaryota; Metazoa; Cnidaria; Myxozoa; Bivalvulida; Sphaerosporidae. The record is from RNAcentral.